UAUAAACUGCCACCGGGUAGUAUGCGUAAGCAUUCGAUACACAUCGUUAGGUCUUAGAAGAUGUGUGUUCGGAUGCUUUUUUUGGG
Molecule: non-coding RNA, 86 nt
Filed under: unclassified sequences
Source: RNAcentral